RNAcentral lists this ribosomal RNA (475 nucleotides) under Vermamoeba sp. Its description in RNAcentral is "SSU rRNA". It matches the Rfam family "Eukaryotic small subunit ribosomal RNA", at positions 1255 to 1729 of the family's 1831-position model. The record is from RNAcentral. Lineage: Eukaryota; Tubulinea; Echinamoebida; Vermamoebidae.
UCUAUUCUUGAUUCACUGGUGUGUGCAGGUGCAUGGCCGUUCUUAGUUGGUGGAGUGAUUUGUCUGGUUAAUUCCGUUAACGAACGAGACCUUAACCUGCUAAAUAGUCACGCGAACCGGUCCGCAAGGGCUCAAAGUUCGCGGCUCGACUUCUUAGAGGGACUAUUCGCACCCGCCAGCGAAUGGAAGUUUGAGGCAAUAACAGGUCUGUGAUGCCCUUAGAUGUUCUCGGCCGCACGCGCGUUACACUGACGGAGUCAACGAGCGUUUUUCCUUGCCCGACAGGGCUGGGUAACCUCCUGAAACUCCGUCGUGAUGGGGAUAGAUCAUUGCAAUUAUUGAUCUUGAACGAGGAAUUCCUAGUAGGCGCGAGUCAUCAACUCGCGCCGAUUACGUCCCUGCCCUUUGUACACACCGCCCGUCGCUCCUACCGAUUGAACGGUCCGGCGAGAACUCCGGAUGGUCCAAGUAGGGG